RNAcentral lists this ribosomal RNA (253 nucleotides) under uncultured bacterium. RNAcentral's name for it is "partial 16S ribosomal RNA". It matches the Rfam family "Bacterial small subunit ribosomal RNA", at positions 524 to 776 of the family's 1533-position model. The record is from RNAcentral.
UACGGGGGGGGUAAGCGUUGUUCGGAAUCACUGGGCUUAAAGGGCGCGUAGGCGGUCCGACAAGUCAGGGGUGAAAUCCUGCAGCUUAACUGCAGAAGUGCCUUUGAUACUGUCGGUCUUGAGGGAGAUAGGGGUGUGCGGAACUCACAGUGGAGCGGUGAAAUGCGUUGAUAUUGUGAGGAACGCCGGAGGCGAAAGCGGCGCACUGGAUCUCUUCUGACGCUGAGGCGCGAAAGCUAGGGGAGCAAACGGG